AUUGAACGCUGGCGGCAGGCCUAACACAUGCAAGUCGAGCGGAGCGGCGGACGGGUGAGUAAUGCUUAGGAAUCUGCCUGGUAGUGGUGGAUGACGUCCGGAAACGGGCGCUAAUACCGAAUACUCUCACAUUAGCCUAGGUCGGAUUAGCAAGGUGGUGGGGUAAAGGCCUACAAAGGCGACGAUCCGUAGCUGGUCUGAGAGGAUGAUCAGUCACACUGGAACUGAGACACGGUCCAGACUCCUACGGGAGGCAGCAGUGGGGAAUAUUGGACAAUGGGCGAAAGCCUGAUGCAGCCAUGCCGCGUGUGUGAAGAAGGUCUUCGGGUUGUAAAGCACUUUAAGUUGGGAGGCGUUACCAACAGAAGAAGCACCGGCUAACUUCGUGCCAGCAGCCGCGGUAAUAC
Molecule: ribosomal RNA, 407 nt
Filed under: uncultured bacterium
Lineage: Bacteria
Description: partial 16S ribosomal RNA
Rfam family: Bacterial small subunit ribosomal RNA
Source: RNAcentral